Molecule: ribosomal RNA, 522 nt
Filed under: uncultured bacterium
Lineage: Bacteria
Description: partial 16S ribosomal RNA
Rfam family: Bacterial small subunit ribosomal RNA
Source: RNAcentral
AACGAACGCUGGCGGCGUGCUUAACACAUGCAAGUCGAGCGCGAAAGGGGGGGCAACUCCCCGAGUAGAGCGGCGCACGGGUGAGUAACGCGUGGGUAACCUACCUCCGGGCGGGGGAUAACUACUCGAAAGGGUGGCUAAUACCGCAUGAGACCACGGGGUCUUCGGAUCCUGAGGCCAAAGAUGGCAUCGGCUUGCCGGUGCUGUCACCUGGAGAUGGGCCCGCGUACGAUUAGCUAGUUGGCGAGGUAACGGCUCACCAAGGCUACGAUCGUUAGCUGGUCUGAGAGGAUGGCCAGCCACACUGGAACUGAAACACGGUCCAGACUCCUACGGGAGGCAGCAGUGAGGAAUAUUGCGCAAUGGGGGAAACCCUGACGCAGCAACGCCGCGUGGGUGAAGAAGGCCUUCGGGUCGUAAAGCCCUUUCGGACGGGACGAACGUUUCGCGGGGCUAAACCGCGAAGCUUGACGGUACCGUAAGAAGAAGCACCGGCUAACUCCGUGCCAGCAGCCGCCGUAA